UGGGACUGGGGACUGAAGUGCUCUGUUACCCACAGGCCAGGCACUGCACACACAGCUCCCUUGCACAGCCUUGCCUUGAGCUCAGCCCUGGCCUGGAGCACCCUCUCUAGAACUGGGGAGCAGUUUGGGGAUUGUGCCAGCCCAGUCCUGGCCUCU
This is an unclassified non-coding RNA of Lepidothrix coronata (blue-crowned manakin), 156 nucleotides long. Lineage: Eukaryota; Metazoa; Chordata; Aves; Passeriformes; Pipridae. The record is from Ensembl.